GACGAACGCUGGCGGCGUGCUUAACACAUGCAAGUCGACGGUAAGGCUCCAGCUUGCUGGGGUACACGAGUGGCGAACGGGUGAGUAACACGUGGGUGACCUGCCCUGCACUUCGGGAUAAGCCUGGGAAACUGGGUCUAAUACCGGAUAGGACCGCACCGUGAGGGUGUGGUGGAAAGUUUUUUCGGUGUGGGAUGGGCCCGCGGCCUAUCAGCUUGUUGGUGGGGUAAUGGCCUACCAAGGCGGCGACGGGUAGCCGGCCUGAGAGGGUGGACGGCCACAUUGGGACUGAGACACGGCCCAGACUCCUACGGGAGGCAGCAGUGGGGAAUAUUGCACAAUGGGCGGAAGCCUGAUGCAGCGACGCCGCGUGGGGGAUGACGGCCUUCGGGUUGUAAACUCCUUUCACCAUCGACGAAGGGUUUCUGACGGUAGAUGGAGAAGAAGCACCGGCUAACUACGUG
RNAcentral lists this ribosomal RNA (464 nucleotides) under uncultured bacterium. RNAcentral's name for it is "partial 16S ribosomal RNA". It matches the Rfam family "Bacterial small subunit ribosomal RNA", at positions 28 to 507 of the family's 1533-position model. The record is from RNAcentral.